GUGUUAGGGUGGUAGAACAGUCUCCCUCCACCCUGACGGUCUGUUGUGGUGGCUUGACCUUGCCAGGCCACCAGAUGCCCACCCAGCUGCCCUCUCAGCAUCAAUGACGUGCUCAGCUUUGCCAGCAGUGGGUCCGCUGGCACCAGCUGGAGGUGGCCAUGUCUGGCAUGUUCUUUCUCACAGAGGCCUCCCCCUACAAUACCCUCCCUGCGACAGCACCUGGCCACAGGCACCAGCUGUGUCUGUUCUCCAGAUAUGAGGAAGUAGCGGCGUAGACUGGCCAGAGAAUGGAUGUGGGGAUGCAAAGAGGGCAGCACAGCCUAGUACAGCCAGCCCAGGACCACAGAAGUCCUCUUUCUCAGGAACACGCGUAGGAAAUUAAAACCAUUUGAGUAAAUAAGGAUAAUGCGA
Long non-coding RNA from Pipra filicauda (Wire-tailed manakin), 411 nucleotides. RefSeq lists it as uncharacterized. The record is from RefSeq and is a predicted model, not a curated record. Lineage: Eukaryota; Metazoa; Chordata; Aves; Passeriformes; Pipridae. The transcript has 3 exons.